RNAcentral lists this ribosomal RNA (889 nucleotides) under uncultured soil bacterium. RNAcentral's name for it is "bacterial SSU rRNA". It matches the Rfam family "Bacterial small subunit ribosomal RNA", at positions 8 to 954 of the family's 1533-position model. The record is from RNAcentral.
AGAGUUUGAUCCUGGCUCAGAACGAACGCUGGCGGCAGGCCUAAUACAUGCAAGUAGAGCGGGCGUAGCAAUACGUCAGCGGCGGACGGGUGAGUAACACGUGGGAACAUGCCCUUCGGUACGGAACAACUCAGGGAAACUUGAGCUAAUACCGUAUGCGCCGGCAACGGGAAAGAUUUAUCGCCGAAGGAUUGGCCCGCGUCCGAUUAGCUAGUUGGUGAGGUAACGGCCCACCAAGGCACCGAUCGGUAGCUGGUUUGAGAGAACGACCAGCCACACUGGGACUGAGACACGGCCCAGACUCCUACGGGAGGCAGCAGUAGGGAAUCUUGGACAAUGGGGGAAACCCUGAUCCAGCCAUGCCGCGUGAGUGAUGAAGGCCUUCGGGUUGUAAAACUCUUUCGGCGGGGACGAUAAUGACGGUACCCGCAGAAGAAGCUCCGGCUAACUUCGUGCCAGCAGCCGCGGUAAUACGAAGGGGGCUAGCGUUGUUCGGAAUUACUGGGCGUAAAGCGCGCGCAGGCGGCCUUUCAAGUCAGGGGUGAAAGCCCGGAGCUCAACUCCGGAAUUGCCUUUGAAACUGUCAGGCUCGAGUACGGGAGAGGUGAGUGUAAUUCCCAGUGUAGAGGUGAAAUUCGUAGAUAUUGGGAAGAACACCGGUGGCGAAGCGGCUCACUGGCCCGUUUCUGACGCUCAGCGCGACAGCGUGGGAUCAAACAGGAUUAGAUACCCUGGUAGUCCACGCCGUAACUAUGAACGCUAGCCGUUGGCAGGCUUGCCUGUCAGUGGCACAGCUACGCAUUAAGCGUUCGGCCUGGGGAGUACGCCGCAGGUUGAACUCAAAGGAAUUGACGGGUGCCCGCACAAGCGUGAGCAUGGGUUUAAUCGA